GUGCCAGCAGCCGCGGUAACACGUAGGGGGCGAGCGUUGUCCGGAAUCAUUGGGCGUAAAGAGCUCGUAGGCGGCUCGGUAAGUCGGGUGUGAAACCCCCAGGCUCAACCUGGGGACGCCACCCGAUACUGCUGUGGCUAGAGUCCAGUAGGGGAGUGUGGAAUUCCCGGUGUAGCGGUGAAAUGCGCAGAUAUCGGGAGGAACACCAGCGGCGAAGGCGGCACUCUGGGCUGGAACUGACGCUGAGGAGCGAAAGCGUGGGUAGCAAACAGGAUUAGAUACCCUGGUAGUCC
This 293-nucleotide ribosomal RNA is filed under the name uncultured bacterium. Its description in RNAcentral is "partial 16S ribosomal RNA". It matches the Rfam family "Bacterial small subunit ribosomal RNA", at positions 505 to 796 of the family's 1533-position model. The record is from RNAcentral.